GUGGGGGUGAGGGGUGAGGGGCUCUGUGCCUAUGGGGUGGGGGUGAAGGGCUCUGCGCCUAAGGGCUAGUGGUGGUAAGAGGCUCUGCUCCUAUGGGGUGGGGAGGCCCCUGGGGUGGAUAAGUUCAGCUGUGGGGAGGCAGUGGGAAGCUGGUUUGGGUAGCGGGUUCAGACUUGUUUCCAGGCAAGGGUAUCAGAGCCCUGCUGGAUUUCAACCCUCUGACACCCCAAGUCCAAGGUCAGUACCCCAAGUCCUUCCAGGGCAGAACCUCAAAACCCCCACAGGAGUGAUACGAGGUAUGGAACUGGGUUCCUGGACAGCCAGCCUUGUAGGUGUGCAGAGACGUCCUCUUCAUUGUGAUGCUGUCACUAAUACUGUAAAAGAUUGGUCAUUGUUCAGUAGGAGAAAAGAAUUCUGUCUGCACAUUACAGUCGUAAUGCCCCCACUGGCUCUAAGAAUUCCUGAAACAAGGGGCUCAUCUGACCUGACGUCAUGUGUGACCAUGGAGUCCAUCUCCCACGGACGUGAGCUGAGGGAGCAGAAGCCAGAUUGUGUGCCCUUCCCCACACGAAGAGCCUCAGGCAGACAUUGCCAAUUCACCUUUCCGGAGUUGUCUUCUGUUCCGCGUGGGGAGAAGAUGAUCGAGGGGGCUGCUGGGAGCAUAGGGGAGGCACCUUGUGCCCACACACAUCUGCAGAUGAACUCUUGGGGUCAUGCGGAGUGAGUCCUAACUGUGUACGGCUUUAGAGGGCGUCUCCAACUCAACCAACUGCUCAGUGCUCAGAGCAGUCUUAUCUCAUGGAUACAUCAUGACAGAUGCCAAUGGCAAUAUGAAUACCUACAACAGAGAGAAGGACAAAGCUGUCCUGCAGUGCCGGGCUCACCUGCGCCACCGCCUGCAGCCUUUGCUUCCUGACUCAGCCUAACUCCCAAUGUCAGAAUAAAUGCAGGAGAGGGCAGUUUGGUGAUAAAAGGAGAGGAACUAUACUUGGAAAUGAUAUUUUUC
This 1006-nucleotide long non-coding RNA is filed under the name Homo sapiens (human). RNAcentral describes it as "HSALNT0274607". The record is from RNAcentral. Lineage: Eukaryota; Metazoa; Chordata; Mammalia; Primates; Hominidae.